This 517-nucleotide long non-coding RNA is filed under the name Pan troglodytes (chimpanzee). RNAcentral's name for it is "long non-coding RNA NONPTRT007041". Lineage: Eukaryota; Metazoa; Chordata; Mammalia; Primates; Hominidae. The record is from RNAcentral.
UAGCUCACUUGCUAGGCACCCUUGAGCAAGGUGCCUGUGUCUCAGGUACCUCUGUCCAUGCCGGCUGCUGUGGGCUGAACUGUGUCCCCCAAAUUCAUAUGUUGAAGUCCUAACCCCAGGGCCUUAGAAUGGGACCUUAUUUGGAUGUAGGAUCUUUUUUUCUUCUUCUUCUUUUUGAGACAGAGUCUCACUCUGUUGCACAGGCUGGAGUGCUAUGGCAGGAUCUUGGCUCACUGCAACCUCUGCCUCCUGGGUUCAAGCGAUUGUCCUACCUCAGCCUCCUGAAUAGCCGGGAUUACAGGUAGCCACCACCAUGCCUGGCUACUUUUUGUAUUUUUAGUAGAGAUAGGGUUUCACUAUGUUGGCCAGUCUGGUCUUGAACUCCUGACCUCAGGUGAUCUGCCCGCCUCAGCCUCCCAAAGUGCUGGGAUUACAGAGAUAAUUAAGUUCAAAUGAGGCCAUCAGGGUAGGCCCUAAUCUAAUACGACAAAGGUCCUUACAAGAAGAGGAGGUUAGG